ACAGAGACAGCUGUUUGUCCCCCAGUAUCCUUCAGACAAAGCCAUAUAUGAUUGAAGGUUAUCAGUACUGUGCUUUUGGAGGAUUCAGAAGAAGUUAUAUCUGAUUGGGAGAUUGAAAAGGAUUGGCCUGAAGGAGAGGUGGUUUUUGAACUGCAUCUUAAAGGAUGAGGAAACUGAGGCUGAGAGGGUAGAGAACUUUGCCUGAGGUCACUCAGCAGGGACCCACCCAUCACAGUAAAUGCCAGCACUGCUGAUGCCAAAACAAUGUUAUUUGUAGGCCCUCGGAAUUUGUGACCUGAAGGAAGAAGAGCAGGGCCGUGGGAAGUAUGUAACCAGUGUCAUGCCCCUGGUCCCAAGGAAGCAGUGGCUUGGUAAAGAGGGGACCCCCGUCAAUAACUCCCUGUAAUUACUGGGCACCCACUCUGAGCUCCUCAGUGGAAUCCUAAGGUUAAUAAGACUGUCUCUAGCCACUGGGGCUCCCAGCCUGGAGUGAGGUAAGAGGAGUGGAGCCGGCUGGGGAGGGAGACGAACACAUACACAGAAGAUUCAGACACACUUGCAAUGUAUUGCUGGGGAUUCUCCAGCAUUGGCAUGAUGGAGAGGGUGGAGAAUCAUUUGACCGCCUCCGCCUAGGAUUGCAGAGUUCAGCUGGCCAUCAUCCACCAGCCGGGGGACUGUGCACAUCAGUUAACCUCUCCUCUCAGGCCUUGAAAAGCACCAGGCUUAGUACACGUUUGUUAAAUGAAUGCACUGCAGUUUUUUUGCUUGUUAAAGGCAGGUAAUAAUAAUGAUAUUGCUGACUAAGGGCUCCCAUCCACUCCCAGUGAGCCCGGUGCCCCCCCGGGCCUCCUCAGUGAGCUGAGGAGGCUCAGCAGUGCCUGCACGUCCCCUCGCCACAAUGUCAUGUGCCACCUCUUCAAAGGAGGGAUGUACCAGCUAGUGGACGUGACCUUGACUGCAAAGGGCGGCACGCAGCUGAUGUAAUGGUCGCUUAAGUGUUCACAAAUGCCUGAACACCCUGUCCUACCUGGUCCUACCUGGAUGCUGGCCUCAGUAAGCUCCUGGGCUCAUUGAAGAUGAACCUAGCAGUAGUAUUUACACCACUUGUUGUGUGCCCACUGUGGGCCCGGCGCCAUGCCGAGUGCUCUAUGGAUGUGAGAUGAGAACACUGAAGCAGUUUUUUCUAAAGAUAGCUGCCUGGCACAGUGGCUCACAUCUGUAGUCCCAGCAUUUGGGGAGGCCAAGGCAGGUGGAUCACUUGAGGCCAGGAAUUCAAGACCAGCAUGGCCAACAUGUGCUGGGAGAGAAAAGCAUACGACAUAGACAGGGAGGUCAAGCUCCACCACGCAGAUGAGGUGCAGGCCACCAGUCUUCCUCUGCCACAUCUCUUUCUGAAAAGGACUUCACAUUCACCCUUGCAAUCCAUGUGGGGACACUGUUGGAUAGGAGGCGUGGUCCCAGCGUGGUCUCCCUGUCUGGGCCUCUGCCUAUGCCAAAUGUUUGCCUUACGCUGCACACUCAAGAGGUUCCAUGUAUACAGAUGGGAAUUCCAGAGCUACAGAAAAGGCAGCAAGCACCAUGAUUUAAGCUAACCAGUGUGGAUUCACACCUUCCUCUCUCUCUAUCAGUGGCAGAACUACCAGCUAGAGUAAGAAGUGGUUGAUCCAGGACCUAAACAUUCUGGAAACUCUUGCCCACUUCUGGGAGAAAUGACCCAAUCCAUAGUACUAAGCACACCUUAACUUUCGUAGGACGCAGGCAAGUUGUCAUACCGUGUGCCUAAAUAUAGAAAAAUGAUCCACUGGACUAAUAAAGUGUUAAAUAAAAUAUGUCCUGACUGUCUACUUUGACAACAUACUUUCAUAAUGACAAAACUUAAAAAUGUAUAAAGCUAUGGUUUUUAUAUAGUUGAAAAUUGACAAAACAGAAGACUAAAUUUACUUAUUAUUGCACAUGAUGGGCGGGCUAUGUUUGGUUGAGU
RNAcentral lists this long non-coding RNA (1981 nucleotides) under Homo sapiens (human). RNAcentral describes it as "HSALNT0368134". The record is from RNAcentral. Lineage: Eukaryota; Metazoa; Chordata; Mammalia; Primates; Hominidae.